Molecule: long non-coding RNA, 1033 nt
Filed under: Aedes aegypti (yellow fever mosquito)
Lineage: Eukaryota; Metazoa; Arthropoda; Insecta; Diptera; Culicidae
Description: lncRNA AAEL025010
Source: RNAcentral
UGAAAAUGAUCAUUUUUUUAAGUUUUUUUAUUUUUUAUGAAUUCUUGAAUUUUAUAUGAAUUUUCAAAAAUUGACAAUUUCACCACUUUUUCAGACAUGCGGAACGGAAAUGGUAACUCUAACAGUGGUGAAUUUCGUAUUCACCAUGUCGGCCAUAUUAGAAAAAUCGUAAAAACUGAUAACCCUAUUCCCAGCUGUAUUUACUUUUUGGAAAUGUCAAAAAUAACUAGUAUUUAUAUAUGUAAACUUCUAUUCUUUCCCGAUCAGUUUUUAAGAAUAUCACGUUUUUUCGAUUAUUCAUGUAUCGUCGGAAGUGGUGCUUUUAGUUGCUGCAUAACAAGAGGAGACAACAAGGAUGGAUGGACCAGAAACUCUUGGACAACUAGUCGUAGUUCUUCCAGAUGAGGGCGCAGUUUUUCGGUGGAAUUAUGGCCUUCGAUAUUUUGUCGUGAUGCAAAGAGCACCAUUUAAACGGACUACCUUCUACAAGCGGCAUAUAACCGGUGAGUUGAAAAAGAUGUGCCUGUGCGCCAUUCGUAUCAUUCAACGUCUCGGACACCGCCGACCAGAAAAAGUUUGGUGGACUGCGAAACGGAUACAUCAUAUUCGGCAUGACGUGUUCAGUAACCUACAAGAAAGUCCCCAACUGACAGAAAGAUUUGGUGCGGAUGUGCAAAGUCGACAUCAAGGACAGCAAAGUGAAAGCCAAGCUACCGGAAGAAGAAUCAUCAGUACUACGACAUCUCGACUUAGUCCAACUACCAAUUAUAGUAACGGUGUGGGUGGCCCGCUAGUUGGUCGUUGACCUGAAUAUAGUUAUUAGCUAUGCCCGCCUACUCCCGCCAGCGGUCAUAAUGGACAAGAACUGGCAGCAACAUAUCAAGGAUUUACAUGAAGCGCAAGCCACCGCACUGCCCGAUGAGGACGAGAUUAAAAUCCUCCCUCUCCCAGAAAACAGAAACUCAUUCAUUUAUUUGCAAACGGUUGAAAAAAACAAUAAUGGUAAUAAAGAUGCAUGGAUUAGUAUUUAUAA